CAUAAUGUCAUUCAUUUGAUGUUUUGGGGAAUUAGGACUGUUACCUUGAAAAAAUUAGAGUGUUUAAAGCAGGCUAACGCUUGAAUACAUUAGCAUGGAAUAAUGAAAUAGGACAUCGCAUUCUAUUUUGUUGGUUUCUAGGAUCGAUGUAAUGAUUAAUAGGGAUAGUUGGGGGCAUUAGUAUUCAAUUGUCAGAGGUGAAAUUCUUGGAUUUAUUGAAGACUAACUACUGCGAAAGCAUUUGCCAAGGAUGUUUUCAUUAAUCAAGAACGAAAGUUAGGGGAUCGAAGACGAUCAGAUACCGUCGUAGUCUUAACCAUAAACUAUGCCGACUAGGGAUCGGAUGAUGCUGAUUUUUUAAUGACUCAUUCGGCACCUUACGGGAAACCAAAGCGUUUGGGUUCCGGGGGGAGUAUGGUCGCAAGGCUGAAACUUAAAGGAAUUGACGGAAGGGCACCACCAGGGGUGGAGCCUGCG
This 477-nucleotide ribosomal RNA is filed under the name uncultured Glomeromycotina. RNAcentral describes it as "SSU rRNA". It matches the Rfam family "Eukaryotic small subunit ribosomal RNA", at positions 712 to 1187 of the family's 1831-position model. The record is from RNAcentral. Lineage: Eukaryota; Fungi; Glomeromycota.